UUUUCCAUUCCUGCCUGACCCCCGUGUGCCCACAUCAUGGGCACCACGGUUCCUGUAGGACAGCUGGGGAAACUGAGACCCAGCGAGAAGAGGCUCUUUGUGGAAAAUCCCACAGCAAAUCGUUGGCAGAGGGAGGCCAGACCCUGCGAAGGAGAUCCUGCCCAGAGGCUCCAGGGCCAAGACCCACCAGAAACUCCUCCUCCGUUGUAAGAAGGGGUCCAAGGACCCCUCUGGAGCUGAAACUGUCUCAGGACCCCAAAGACCAUCCAUGUGCCCAUUUCCCAGCUGGUAGUUGUAUGCAUUAUAUAUAUCAGCUCAGCCUCCAUCAAACUGCCAGGCAGCUCCCAUGAGUGUCUUGCAGGCACUAGGGAGCCAUGGAAGGUGUUUGAGCAAGAGAGGGAGAGUACCAGGAGAGUGAGACUGCUCAGGAAUCCCACACCACUGGAUGGUUCUCCGGUGCCAGAGGGGCCUGACUGAUG
Suricata suricatta (meerkat) is the source of this 479-nucleotide long non-coding RNA. RefSeq lists it as uncharacterized. The transcript is spliced from 4 exons. NCBI's taxonomy places the organism in Eukaryota, Metazoa, Chordata, Mammalia, Carnivora, Herpestidae. The record is from RefSeq and is a predicted model, not a curated record.